UUAGGCAAGAUGUUAUCUCUCAUAUCAAAGAGAUAGAAUAUGAAACUGGCAGCCAGUAUUGAUAUAAUGUGGUACUAAAAGCUCCAAUACCAUCAGGGGCUGAAGACAUAACAGGAAUUGUGUGGGAUUUGACCAACCUUAGACUAAAGAGAAAAGUUGUUGCUGCAUUACAGAUAUUUUGAACUCAGCAAUUUUUAUUAAUGUUUUCUCUCUCUUAUGAAUAAUAUGAUAUCUAUACUUGCAAUGAGCAUGAAUUGAAAGUUCCUCAUGUCUGUAAAACUGUUUUCCCUUGACAUUGACCACAUUUCAUGGAUCGGUGAAAAAAGUUAUGUACCCAUGGUCAAGUCCAUGUAUCAGAUUCAAAAAGCAAUAGGUCUGCUUAAUUUGGUAUACUGUAUGAUUGAUCCUGAUCUCAUUGUCAUGCUUUAUUGAUCAAUGUUAAUAUUCAAAAGAUUUAAUAUUGAUUGUACAUUGUAUAUAUAGAUAUGAUAAUAUUUAUUUGUAUCCUUUGAACCAUCAUGACCAUGUUAUA
This 532-nucleotide long non-coding RNA is filed under the name Mytilus galloprovincialis (Mediterranean mussel). The record is from RNAcentral. Lineage: Eukaryota; Metazoa; Mollusca; Bivalvia; Mytilida; Mytilidae.